UGCAUCCAAAACGACAAAAGCCCUACCUCUCUUUUGCCCUUGCGGCUCCAAUGACCGCGCCAGUGUGAGUCGGAAAAUAACAGCUUGA
Paenibacillus sabinae T27 is the source of this 88-nucleotide non-coding RNA. Lineage: Bacteria; Bacillati; Bacillota; Bacilli; Caryophanales; Paenibacillaceae. The record is from Rfam.